GCGAUCAUACCAGAACUAAUGCACCGGAUCCCAUCAGAACUCCGCAGUUAAGCGUGCUUGAGCGAGAGUCCCCUUUUUCAUUUUUUUUCCUUUUAAUUUUCUUCUACUUUCGGAAUUUCUUAUGGGAAGCA
This 131-nucleotide ribosomal RNA is filed under the name Corchorus capsularis. Lineage: Eukaryota; Viridiplantae; Streptophyta; Magnoliopsida; Malvales; Malvaceae. The record is from RNAcentral.